AGCAUAUCAAAAUAAAAAUGUAUUUACAAUUAUUAACCCACACUUUUCUCUAGGUGAUCAAACAAUAGAGUCUUGGUUUCUAUAAAACAUGUUUUUUUGUUUGUUUGUUUGUUUUUGUGUCUGUGUGUGGUGCUGGGGAUUUAACCCAGGGCCUUGUGCAUGUGAGGCAAACACUCUACCAACUGAGCUACAUCCCCAGCUCUCUAUAAAAUGUUUAAAGUGUAAUAUCCAUUGCUUCUAUAGAUUUUUUCUUUAGCAGGGACAGAUGGCUUUUACUGUUAACUACACUUGUCUGAUAUCUUGAUUUUUAUGGGUAACUUAACAAUUAAAAUUGAGUAAUUGAGAUUAAACAUAAUGGGAUUAGUUUUCAUAAAUGUGUUUGUUAGAGGAGACAUUCAGUUAAUUUACAAACUAUAUCAAUUGCUAAGUAGAAAUUCAAGUACUUCUGACUUUUUAAUUCCAUAAAAUAAUAUAUAUUUAAGUAUCACGUGAUAUAUUUUAGUAUCAUGUGUAGUUUUAUAAAUUGGUAAAUGAAAAAGGAAAAUGUCCCUAAUGCUUCCAAGGGAAGCCAUAUGUGAUCAACUGGUAAAGGAAACUAAAACAGGAAGCUUCUUACUAGUCUCCAAAAGUGACCCCCUGAAGAAUUUCAGGUGACUAAUCUAU
RNAcentral lists this long non-coding RNA (663 nucleotides) under Marmota monax (woodchuck). Lineage: Eukaryota; Metazoa; Chordata; Mammalia; Rodentia; Sciuridae. The record is from RNAcentral.